This 1550-nucleotide ribosomal RNA is filed under the name Klebsiella quasipneumoniae. Its description in RNAcentral is "16S ribosomal RNA". It matches the Rfam family "Bacterial small subunit ribosomal RNA". Lineage: Bacteria; Pseudomonadati; Pseudomonadota; Gammaproteobacteria; Enterobacterales; Enterobacteriaceae. The record is from RNAcentral.
AAAUUGAAGAGUUUGAUCAUGGCUCAGAUUGAACGCUGGCGGCAGGCCUAACACAUGCAAGUCGAGCGGUAGCACAGAGAGCUUGCUCUCGGGUGACGAGCGGCGGACGGGUGAGUAAUGUCUGGGAAACUGCCUGAUGGAGGGGGAUAACUACUGGAAACGGUAGCUAAUACCGCAUAACGUCGCAAGACCAAAGUGGGGGACCUUCGGGCCUCAUGCCAUCAGAUGUGCCCAGAUGGGAUUAGCUAGUAGGUGGGGUAAUGGCUCACCUAGGCGACGAUCCCUAGCUGGUCUGAGAGGAUGACCAGCCACACUGGAACUGAGACACGGUCCAGACUCCUACGGGAGGCAGCAGUGGGGAAUAUUGCACAAUGGGCGCAAGCCUGAUGCAGCCAUGCCGCGUGUGUGAAGAAGGCCUUCGGGUUGUAAAGCACUUUCAGCGGGGAGGAAGGCGAUAAGGUUAAUAACCUUGUCGAUUGACGUUACCCGCAGAAGAAGCACCGGCUAACUCCGUGCCAGCAGCCGCGGUAAUACGGAGGGUGCAAGCGUUAAUCGGAAUUACUGGGCGUAAAGCGCACGCAGGCGGUCUGUCAAGUCGGAUGUGAAAUCCCCGGGCUCAACCUGGGAACUGCAUUCGAAACUGGCAGGCUAGAGUCUUGUAGAGGGGGGUAGAAUUCCAGGUGUAGCGGUGAAAUGCGUAGAGAUCUGGAGGAAUACCGGUGGCGAAGGCGGCCCCCUGGACAAAGACUGACGCUCAGGUGCGAAAGCGUGGGGAGCAAACAGGAUUAGAUACCCUGGUAGUCCACGCCGUAAACGAUGUCGAUUUGGAGGUUGUGCCCUUGAGGCGUGGCUUCCGGAGCUAACGCGUUAAAUCGACCGCCUGGGGAGUACGGCCGCAAGGUUAAAACUCAAAUGAAUUGACGGGGGCCCGCACAAGCGGUGGAGCAUGUGGUUUAAUUCGAUGCAACGCGAAGAACCUUACCUGGUCUUGACAUCCACAGAACUUAGCAGAGAUGCUUUGGUGCCUUCGGGAACUGUGAGACAGGUGCUGCAUGGCUGUCGUCAGCUCGUGUUGUGAAAUGUUGGGUUAAGUCCCGCAACGAGCGCAACCCUUAUCCUUUGUUGCCAGCGGUUAGGCCGGGAACUCAAAGGAGACUGCCAGUGAUAAACUGGAGGAAGGUGGGGAUGACGUCAAGUCAUCAUGGCCCUUACGACCAGGGCUACACACGUGCUACAAUGGCAUAUACAAAGAGAAGCGACCUCGCGAGAGCAAGCGGACCUCAUAAAGUAUGUCGUAGUCCGGAUUGGAGUCUGCAACUCGACUCCAUGAAGUCGGAAUCGCUAGUAAUCGUAGAUCAGAAUGCUACGGUGAAUACGUUCCCGGGCCUUGUACACACCGCCCGUCACACCAUGGGAGUGGGUUGCAAAAGAAGUAGGUAGCUUAACCUUCGGGAGGGCGCUUACCACUUUGUGAUUCAUGACUGGGGUGAAGUCGUAACAAGGUAACCGUAGGGGAACCUGCGGUUGGAUCACCUCCUUACCUUAAAGAA